This is a small nucleolar RNA of Octodon degus (degu), 104 nucleotides long. RefSeq annotates it as small nucleolar RNA U13. Lineage: Eukaryota; Metazoa; Chordata; Mammalia; Rodentia; Octodontidae. The transcript has a single exon. The record is from RefSeq and is a predicted model, not a curated record.
AUCCAACCCACUACAGAAGAGCAGUGUUUUUAAAACAAAAUCUGAUGCAUGAGAUGUGUCUCCCUCAAACCUUGUUACAAUGUGGGCGCAUUACCCAUCUGACU